CCUACGGGUGGCAGCAGUGGGGAAUAUUGCACAAUGGGGGAAACCCUGAUGCAGCGACGCCGCGUGAGUGAAGAAGUAUUUCGGUACGUAAAGCUCUAUCAGCAGGGAAGAAAAUGACGGUACCUGACUAAGAAGCCCCGGCUAACUAAGUGCCAGCAGCCGCGGUAAUACGUAGGGGGCAAGCGUUCUCCGGAUUUACUGGGUGUAAAGGGAGCGUAGACGGCAGCGCAAGUCUGGAGUGAAAUCCCAUGGCUUAACCAUGGAACUGCUUUGGAAACUGUGCAGCUAGAGUGCAGGAGAGGUAAGCGGAAUUCCUAGUGUAGCGGUGAAAUGCGUAGAUAUUAGGAGGAACACCAGUGGCGAAGGCGGCUUACUGGACUGUAACUGACGUUGAGGCUCGAAAGCGUGGGGAGCAAACAGGAUUAGAUACCCCAGUAGUC
RNAcentral lists this ribosomal RNA (440 nucleotides) under uncultured bacterium. Its description in RNAcentral is "partial 16S ribosomal RNA". It matches the Rfam family "Bacterial small subunit ribosomal RNA", at positions 338 to 795 of the family's 1533-position model. The record is from RNAcentral.